CGAACGCUCGUCAACUCAAACCGUCAAGUACCUAAUCAAGUACGGUCUUUGCUUAGUAAACGAAACACGAAAUAACCUUAAACGACGAUCCAACGGUCGGAUUCAAAAAUAAAGGUGAUCCAACGGUCGGAUUCGAAAAUAAAGACGAUCCAACGGUCGGAUCGAAAUUAUAUGAUGAUCCAACGGUCGGAUCCUCACGGAUCGCCCUUAGGAUCAUCCUCCAAAAUUAUCACGAAGAUCCAACGGUCGGAUCUUCCUGAAUCGUCCUUAUAAACAUCUCCACAAAAUUUCAUGAAAAUCCGACGGUCGGAUUCUCACGAAUCGCCUUCCGAAUCACUAUUUCACAAUUAUACGAAGAUCCAACGGUCGGAUCUUCGCCCGUGACCACACAAAGUCAUCGGGACAGUCAUACG
Molecule: long non-coding RNA, 413 nt
Filed under: Rosa chinensis
Lineage: Eukaryota; Viridiplantae; Streptophyta; Magnoliopsida; Rosales; Rosaceae
Description: sRNA RchiOBHm_Chr1g0330281
Source: RNAcentral